GAUCCUGGCUCAGGAUGAACGCUAGCUACAGGCUUAACACAUGCAAGUCGAGGGGCAGCAGGGAUUUAGCUUGCUAAAUCCGCUGGCGACCGGCGCACGGGUGCGUAACGCGUAUCCAACUUUCCCGUUACUCAGGGAUAGCCUUCCGAAAGGGAGAUUAAUACCUGAUGGUGUUUGAAAUUCCGCAUGUCAUUUCAACUAAAGAUUUAUCGGUAACGGAUGGGGAUGCGUGACAUUAGAUAGUAGGCGGGGUAACGGCCCACCUAGUCUGCGAUGUCUAGGGGUUCUGAGAGGAAGGUCCCCCACACUGGAACUGAGACACGGUCCAGACUCCUACGGGAGGCAGCAGUGAGGAAUAUUGGUCAAUGGUCGGAAGACUGAACCAGCCAAGUAGCGUGAAGGAUGAAGGUUCUAUGGAUUGUAAACUUCUUUUAUACGGGAAUAAAACACCUUACGUGUAGGGUCUUGUAUGUACCGUAUGAAUAAGCAUCGGCUAACUCCGUG
This 504-nucleotide ribosomal RNA is filed under the name uncultured bacterium. Its description in RNAcentral is "bacterial SSU rRNA". It matches the Rfam family "Bacterial small subunit ribosomal RNA", at positions 15 to 507 of the family's 1533-position model. The record is from RNAcentral.